UCCUGCCUCAGCCUCCCCGAGUAGCUGGGAUUACAGGCGACUGCCGCCACCACGCCCGGCUAAUUUUUUAAGUAUUUUUAGUAGAGACGGGUUUCACCGCGUUAGCCAGCAUGGUCUUGAUCUCCUGACCUCGUGAUCUGCCCUCCUCGGCCUCCCAAAGUGCUGGGAUUACAGGCGUGAGCCACCGCGCCCGGCCGACCCCUGUAGGGUUUUAAAGGAGAGAGGCAGCAUCCCAGAGGGCAAAAAGGGCUUCAUUCAUGGAGAAAGCAACUGAGCUGGGCAGAGCACAGACGGAAUUUGAAUUGGAGGCCAGAGGCAAAGGGAACUCCAAGUGGAAGAAGAAACGGCAUGAAAAAAGGGAUUGAGAAGGAAAAGGACAAGAUGGUUUGGAGAGAGAGCAACUUCAGCCUGGAAAAGCAGAAAUGAGAUGCGGCCAAGAAAAAGACUCCAGCCCAGCCUGCCUUGGUUCUAACCCUGACUGUUACUUAACCUCUUUCUGGCUCAGUCAAGAAACUUGAGCACUGCAAGAUGAUCAUGUGGAAUACCUACUUCAAACGGAUGUUAAGAGGAGUAAAAGUGUUCUUGUUUCUAAGUGCUUGAAAUGCAGCUGGCAUAUAAUUAAGCUAUGCAAAUAUUUACUUUUUUUUUUUGAAAUGCUGAGUUUACUGAUCACUCUAAUUUUUACAUAUGUGUGUCAUUACAGAAGAUUCAGGCUUUAGCGAUGACUGGAGGGUCAUUCGCUGGAAAGAAUUUCAUCAGUUGGAACUAAAUCAUGGUGAGCAAAAGAAAGUCUACCUAAGUGAUAUGGUUUGGCUCUGUGUCCACAUCCAGAUCUCAUCUCGAAUUGUAAUUCCCACAAGUUGUGGGACGGAGGUGAUUGAAUCAUGGGGGCAGGUGCCCCAAUGCUGUUCUGGUGAUAAUGAGUGAGUCCCCAAGAGAACUGAUGAUUUUAUAAGGGGCUCUUCCCCCUUCACUUUCUCUUCUCUCUCCUGCUGCCUUGUGAAGCAGGUGCCUGCUUCGCCUUCUGCCAUGAUUGUGUUUCCUGAGGCCUCCCCAGCCAUGCAGAACUUAGUGCCUCACUUUGGAGUCGGCUGAGAAGAUCAUUCCAGACGGGAGUUUUGACACUGUACAAAUGCACUGUCUUCACAUCUACGCUGACACCCCUGCCUUUCUACCUGCAGGUGUCUGUGGCUUACAAGCUGGUGCCUCCCACAGACCCUGUAGUUUGGAGCUAAUGAAGAGCUGAGAAGGUAGGUUUGGCUGUGACUAGAGAGCAGGAACAACCUCUCCACAGGUCAUUCCUUUCUCCAGGCAUGGAACCGUCUUACAAACCUGGGCUGAGGGUUCAUUGCCUCUAAAUGUAGAAGCAAAGACUAAAUUCAAAAGGCAAGAACUACUUAAUGAAAACAGAAACUCCACUACAUACGUGUUUCUUCUGCCUAUCCCAUGGAGUCAGAGAGGUGGUGGAUCUAGCAGAGACAGCUGUAGACCAGGGGUCAGAAGACUUGGGUCCUCAUCCUGAUUCUACCACUAACUAGCUGCAUGACCUCAGACAAGUGACUUGUCUGCCCUAGACCAGGCAGGGUUGGACAGUUAGCCCCAAAGUCCCUUCUAAUGCUAAAAUUCUAAGAUUGUACCCUGCCAGCCUUAGGAGGCUAUGCUGUUACUACCAGUGCCUGGCACAUAGCAGGCACUAUAUAAAUGUUAAUUAUCAUUAUUAUUAUGUAAAGGCACAAUGCAUGCCUUUAUAUGUAAACGUGGAUUCUUCCCCAUUAUAACAAUGAAUGAUCUAGAAGCAAAUUAUAACAACAGGGUAUAAUCAUAAGCAAUGAAGACUGUAAUUCCUACCGGUCUUCUUCUCAGCACAAAUGAAUAAAGCUUUUCCCCCCUCCCCCUCCAGUAAUUGUUGGAGGUGGUUCUUGGAUCCAAAUCCCAAGCCCUUCCAGAAUAUCUGCAAUUGGAGAACGGGUCAUUCAAUCAAAAGACUGUAGACUGUACUGUGAUGUAAAUUUUUUUCUUCCCCACUGAAAAUCCCAGGCCAGGCAUGGUGGCUAACACUUAUAAUCCCAGCACUUUGGGAGGCCUAGGUGGGCAGAUCACUUGAGCUCUGAGCAAUACAAUGAGACCUCGUCUCUACUAAAAAUUCAAAAACAAUUAGCCUGGUGUGGUGGCACAUGCCUGUAGUCCCAGCUAUUCAGGGGGCUGGGGGCUGAGGUGGGAGGAUCACUUGAGUCUGAGAGGCCAAGGCUGCAGUGAGCCCUGAUUGCACCACUGAACUCCAGCCUGGGUGACAGAAGAAGACCUUGUCUCAGAAAAAAACAAACAAGCAAACAAACAAAAAACUCAAUGCAGGUUGGGAAUGAGAACUGGGAUUCAGGAUUUGGAGUUUCCUAAUAUAUUUUGCCUUCUUCCCAUGAUAUAUACAGUGUAUAAACCUAGUAUGAGGAAGGAACAGUUGUCUAUCAAAAUGGUAAAUGGCAUUCAGUCUUAAGUUUCUAAAUAAAGUUAGCAAUUAUGGGUAUGGCCAAAUGUGGGUGCUUGCCAUAACCUCUGGGGCCUCACCAUUUCCAGCUACCAGGAUCUGCAACUUUUUGCCUGAGGGUUUUCUCAGAAGACACAGAAACUGUUCUGCCUAUAAGCCUUGAAGUGCCAGGGAAUUAACACCUACCUUCCCACAGCCCUCCCCACAGUGACUGAUAGCAUUGAUAACGAUACCCAAGCUUCACCCCUCAGGUGGGAUAACUGAGCUGCUUGUUCUAUACCAUGUUCUAGAGUUUCUCCCAUGAGUUUAGGUUCUAAUCAUCCACAUGUAAAUUGCUUGAUAAGAAACCUUCAUUGACUCCUUGUCUCACUUCCCCUCCCCUUAUUUGUUUUGUUUGCACCUUUCAAAUAAACUAUUUUCAUUCAAAUC
This 2911-nucleotide long non-coding RNA is filed under the name Homo sapiens (human). RNAcentral describes it as "HSALNT0086773". Lineage: Eukaryota; Metazoa; Chordata; Mammalia; Primates; Hominidae. The record is from RNAcentral.